UACGUAGGGUGCGAGCGUUAAUCGGAAUUACUGGGCGUAAAGCGUGCGCAGGCGGCUUUGCAAGACAGAUGUGAAAUCCCCGGGCUUAACCUGGGAACUGCAUUUGUGACUGCAUGGCUGGAGUGCGGCAGAGGGGGAUGGAAUUCCGCGUGUAGCAGUGAAAUGCGUAGAUAUGCGGAGGAACACCGAUGGCGAAGGCAAUCCCCUGGGCCUGCAAUGACGCUCAUGCACGAAAGCGUGGGGAGCGAACAGG
RNAcentral lists this ribosomal RNA (253 nucleotides) under uncultured bacterium. Its description in RNAcentral is "partial 16S ribosomal RNA". It matches the Rfam family "Bacterial small subunit ribosomal RNA", at positions 524 to 776 of the family's 1533-position model. The record is from RNAcentral.